UACGUAGGGGGCUAGCGUUGUCCGGAAUCAUUGGGCGUAAAGAGCGUGUAGGCUGCUUCGGUAAGUCCGCUGUAAAAGUCAAAGGCUCCGAACCUUUGAAUGGUCAGUGGAUACUGCCGGGCUAAGAGUCCGGAAGAGGCGAGGUGGAACUCCUGGUGUAGCGGUGGAAUGCGCAGAUAUCAGGAAGAACACCAACGGCGCAAGGCAGCUCGCUGGGACGGUACUGACGCUGGAGACGCGAAAGCGUGGGGAGCGAACAGG
RNAcentral lists this ribosomal RNA (261 nucleotides) under uncultured bacterium. RNAcentral's name for it is "partial 16S ribosomal RNA". It matches the Rfam family "Bacterial small subunit ribosomal RNA", at positions 524 to 776 of the family's 1533-position model. The record is from RNAcentral.